Microcebus murinus (gray mouse lemur) is the source of this 1100-nucleotide non-coding RNA. The record is from RefSeq and is a predicted model, not a curated record. Lineage: Eukaryota; Metazoa; Chordata; Mammalia; Primates; Cheirogaleidae.
UGUAAGGAGAGAGGGCUAGGCAAGGAAGAUAUUAAUAAAUAUUUCCAUCCUCAAGGAGCAUGGAGCCAACGGUGACACAUGUUUCAAUAUAUAAAACAGAAAACUCUAUCUUUGAGAGAGGAUAAAGAUAAGAAUUUAGAUGAAAGGGGCAUUUAUUUCUGACUUGAAGAAAAUUAGAUAUGGAAGAUUCACAAAGAGUUAUUUGAACCGGGAUACAGAGGAUAUGAAUAUACAAAGGUGAGCGAUGGGAAGAGGAAAUGGUGUUCCGGGUAAAGGGAACAGGGUAGGGGAAGGCACAGGAGAGGCAGUAGCAAGUUUAGGGGUCUGAACUCCAUGCAGUUAAGCUAGGAGGAGUAACAGAACCCUGGACCACCCUUUUAUUUCCAGAGGAGGAGGAGAAAGUAGACAGAGGCCAGUCAGAGAGAAGGGAGAUCCAGAGCUAUGUGUGGCAGCCGGCAGGAAUGCAGAAUUUCAAGACAGGCAACGGGAUGGAAUCCUGCAGAGGGUUGGAGGGUCUGGUAGACAUCUGCUGAGCAGAACUUCUUCCUCCUUCUCCAUGUUCUGCCCCCAUCAAUUCCCACACUCCAGCUCCCAGGGCGGGAGGCAGAGCCUGGACGGAUCACUCGGCAGGGGACUCACCCCUCACUUUCACGUUCACGGCCGUACUCAGCCACUUCCUUUCCCAGACACUCCGGGCCCUCAGUGGGCAGGAAACAAGUGUUAUGGGACACAACAUUGGCACCAGGAGGACGGUGGCAAGCAGAUCUCCUGCUGUUUCAUAUUCUUCUUGCUGGGGAAGGAAUCGAUUUGAUUGACUAAUGUAUCAAGGUGAGCCUUUUGCGGUCAAAUGAUUUGCCCAAGUUCAUAUGGCAGUAAAUGUUGGAGGCAAGGCUUUCCUGUAAUUUACCCAUUAUGUAACUCCACACUCCAAAGCCAAGUUCAAAUGCUGGCUGUACUUGAGCCUCAGGUUAUGUAAAUGAAUAAACGAUGAUCCAGGAAUGAAAUCUGACAUCUCUGACACUAACUUCAGAUCUCUAUACCUCUGACUGCUGCUUCAAAGCUGGUUCAUAUAGUCAUUUAAAUAUUGUGGAGACAGUCUA